Molecule: ribosomal RNA, 668 nt
Filed under: Cytobacillus kochii
Lineage: Bacteria; Bacillati; Bacillota; Bacilli; Caryophanales; Bacillaceae
Description: bacterial SSU rRNA
Rfam family: Bacterial small subunit ribosomal RNA
Source: RNAcentral
UGCUAUACAUGCAGUCGAGCGAAUCUGAGGGAGCUUGCUCCCAAAGAUUAGCGGCGGACGGGUGAGUAACACGUGGGCAACCUGCCUGUAAGACUGGGAUAACUCCGGGAAACCGGGGCUAAUACCGGAUAAUAUCUAUUUAUACAUAUAAUUAGAUUGAAAGAUGGUUCUGCUAUCACUUACAGAUGGGCCCGCGGCGCAUUAGCUAGUUGGUGAGGUAACGGCUCACCAAGGCGACGAUGCGUAGCCGACCUGAGAGGGUGAUCGGCCACACUGGGACUGAGACACGGCCCAGACUCCUACGGGAGGCAGCAGUAGGGAAUCUUCCGCAAUGGACGAAAGUCUGACGGAGCAACGCCGCGUGAGUGAUGAAGGUUUUCGGAUCGUAAAACUCUGUUGUUAGGGAAGAACAAGUAUCGGAGUAACUGCCGGUACCUUGACGGUACCUAACCAGAAAGCCACGGCUAACUACGUGCCAGCAGCCGCGGUAAUACGUAGGUGGCAAGCGUUGUCCGGAAUUAUUGGGCGUAAAGCGCGCGCAGGCGGUUCCUUAAGUCUGAUGUGAAAGCCCACGGCUCAACCGUGGAGGGUCAUUGGAAACUGGGGAACUUGAGUGCAGAAGAGGAAAGUGGAAUUCCAAGUGUAGCGGUGAAAUGCGUAGAGAUUUG